RNAcentral lists this transfer RNA (72 nucleotides) under Dreissena polymorpha. RNAcentral describes it as "tRNA-His". Lineage: Eukaryota; Metazoa; Mollusca; Bivalvia; Myida; Dreissenidae. The record is from RNAcentral.
GGUUCCAUGUUGUAAUGGUUAGAACUCAAGACUAUGUAUGUUGCGAUCCGAGUUCAAAUCUCGGUGGAACGU